Molecule: ribosomal RNA, 490 nt
Filed under: uncultured bacterium
Lineage: Bacteria
Description: bacterial SSU rRNA
Rfam family: Bacterial small subunit ribosomal RNA
Source: RNAcentral
AUUGAACGCUGGCGGCAGGCCUAACACAUGCAAGUCGAACGGCAGCGGGGGAUAGCUUGCUAUCCUGCCGGCGAGUGGCGGACGGGUGAGUAAGGCAUGGGGAGCUGCCCAAUCGAGGGGGAUAACAACUGGAAACGGUUGCUAAUACCGCAUACGCCCUGCGGGGGAAAGGUGGGGACCAUUUGGCCUACCGCGAUUGGAUGCACCCAUGUGGGAUUAGCUGGUUGGUGAGGUAACGGCUCACCAAGGCGACGAUCUCUAGCUGGUCUGAGAGGAUGACCAGCCACACUGGAACUGAGACACGGUCCAGACUCCUACGGGAGGCAGCAGUGGGGAAUAUUGCACAAUGGGGGAAACCCUGAUGCAGCCAUGCCGCGUGUGUGAAGAAGGCCUUCGGGUUGUAAAGCACUUUCAGUCAGGAGGAAGGGGAGCAGACUAAUAUUCUGUUUCAUUGACGUUACUGACAGAAGAAGCACCGGCUAACUCCGUG